RNAcentral lists this ribosomal RNA (1089 nucleotides) under uncultured Streptococcus sp. RNAcentral's name for it is "bacterial SSU rRNA". It matches the Rfam family "Bacterial small subunit ribosomal RNA", at positions 10 to 1082 of the family's 1533-position model. The record is from RNAcentral. Lineage: Bacteria; Bacillati; Bacillota; Bacilli; Lactobacillales; Streptococcaceae.
AGUUUGAUCCUGGCUCAGGACGAACGCUGGCGGCGUGCCUAAUACAUGCAAGUAGAACGCUGAAGAGAGGAGCUUGCUUUUCUUGGAUGAGUUGCGAACGGGUGAGUAACGCGUAGGUAACCUGCCUUGUAGCGGGGGAUAACUAUUGGAAACGAUAGCUAAUACCGCAUAACAAUAGGUGACACAUGUCAUUUAUUUGAAAGGGGCAAUUGCUCCACUACAAGAUGGACCUGCGUUGUAUUAGCUAGUAGGUGUGGUAACGGCUCACCUAGGCGACGAUACAUAGCCGACCUGAGAGGGUGAUCGGCCACACUGGGACUGAGACACGGCCCAGACUCCUACGGGAGGCAGCAGUAGGGAAUCUUCGGCAAUGGACGAAAGUCUGACCGAGCAACGCCGCGUGAGUGAAGAAGGUUUUCGGAUCGUAAAGCUCUGUUGUAAGAGAAGGACGGGUGUGAGAGUGGAAAGUUCACACUGUGACGGUAUCUUACCAGAAAGGGACGGCUAACUACGUGCCAGCAGCCGCGGUAAUACGUAGGUCCCGAGCGUUGUCCGGAUUUAUUGGGCGUAAAGCGAGCGCAGGCGGUUAGAUAAGUCUGAAGUUAAAGGCUGUGGCUUAACCAUAGUACGCUUUGGAAACUGUUUAACUUGAGUGCAGAAGGGGAGAGUGGAAUUCCAUGUGUAGCGGUGAAAUGCGUAGAUAUAUGGAGGAACACCGGUGGCGAAAGCGGGUCUCUGGGCCGUUACUGACGCUGAGGAGCGAAAGCGUGGGGAGCGAACAGGAUUAGAUACCCUGGUAGUCCACGCUGUAAACGUUGGGCACUAGGUGUGGGGGCCACCCGUGGUUUCUGCGCCGUAGCUAACGCUUUAAGUGCCCCGCCUGGGGAGUACGGCCGCAAGGCUAAAACUCAAAGGAAUUGACGGGGGCCCGCACAAGCGGCGGAGCAUGCGGAUUAAUUCGAUGCAACGCGAAGAACCUUACCAAGGCUUGACAUGCACGGCGGCACUGCAGAGAUGUGGUGGCAUUUGGUUGGUCGUGUGCAGGUGGUGCAUGGUUGUCGUCAGCUCGUGUCGUGAGAUGUUGGGUUA